CAAUAGCGUAUAUUAAAGUUGUUGCGGUUAAAAAGCUCGUAGUUGGAUUUCUGCCGAGGACGACCGGUCCGCCCUCCGGGUGAGUAUCUGGCUCGGCCUGGGCAUCUUCUUGGAGAACGUAGCUGCACUUGGCUGUGUGGUGCGGUAUUCAGGACUUUUACUUUGAGGAAAUUAGAGUGUUUCAAGCAGGCACACGCCUUGAAUACAUUAGCAUGGAAUAAUAAGAUAGGACCUCGGUUCUAUUUUGUUGGUUUCUAGAUCUGAGGUAAUGAUUAAUAGGGAUAGUUGGGGGCAUUCGUAUUUAACUGUCAGAGGUGAAAUUCUUAGAUUUGUUAAAGACGGACUACUGCGAAAGCAUUUGCCAAGGAUGUUUUCAUUGA
Molecule: ribosomal RNA, 380 nt
Filed under: uncultured eukaryote
Lineage: Eukaryota
Description: partial 18S ribosomal RNA
Rfam family: Eukaryotic small subunit ribosomal RNA
Source: RNAcentral